CCUGGGGAGUACGGCCGCAAGGUUAAAACUCAAAUGAAUUGACGGGGGCCCGCACAAGCGGUGGAGCAUGUGGUUUAAUUCGAUGCAACGCGAAGAACCUUACCUGGUCUUGACAUCCACAGAACUUUCCAGAGAUGGAUUGGUGCCUUCGGGAACUGUGAGACAGGUGCUGCAUGGCUGUCGUCAGCUCGUGUUGUGAAAUGUUGGGUUAAGUCCCGCAACGAGCGCAACCCUUAUCCUUUGUUGCCAGCGGUCCGGCCGGGAAC
Molecule: ribosomal RNA, 266 nt
Filed under: Enterobacter cloacae
Lineage: Bacteria; Pseudomonadati; Pseudomonadota; Gammaproteobacteria; Enterobacterales; Enterobacteriaceae
Also listed under: 2 other names
Description: partial 16S ribosomal RNA
Rfam family: Bacterial small subunit ribosomal RNA
Source: RNAcentral